UCCCUCCGUCCUCCUGAGUUUUCAUGUCCAACUUUAACUGUCCGUCUUAUAUAAAAUUUUUUUAUGAUUCAUAUUUUUAUUAUUGUUAGAUGAUAAAACAUGAUUAAUAUUUUAUGCGUAACUUGUCUUUUUAUUUUUUUUCAUAAUUUUUUUAAAUAAAACGGACGGUCAAACAUUGGGUACGAAAACCAAGGUUUGUCUUGUU
Molecule: non-coding RNA, 205 nt
Organism: Oryza nivara
Lineage: Eukaryota; Viridiplantae; Streptophyta; Magnoliopsida; Poales; Poaceae
Source: Rfam